AUUUGUCAAUGAUUCGGCACUCCUUCGGUUUUGUUAUCCAUUUUUAGACAGUAAUGAGAUCAUCUGCACACUCCACAGAGCUCCAGAGUUACUGUUCAUAGCAAAAGUGUAAUGCUGUCCUUGGAGAUUUUCACCUAAGACUGUGAGUUGAACAGAGUGCCGAUUAUUAUCGACAGCUACGUCCACCCGGGGUGAAAGUAGUGUGGGAGACCAUCAGGACCCAGCUGGGUUUCCUUGGUCCAGAGGUUUGGAGAAACCUCUUCCUUUUCUUUCAUCACAGCUGUCCUGUGCCAGAUGUUCUGUUGACCCACUGAGAGAGGCGUGUUUGAGAAAGAUCAGGAAGACUGAAGCUCAUGGUAGGAAUGAAGGAGGACCUUGUGAGCUCCACCAGCAGCUCCCUCACAAGGAACUGUUCACAAGUCCACUGCAGGCACGCCCCAGAAGAUGGAUAAAGGCAGCGUUUCAUGAAGACACUGGAACCAAUCUAUCUUCAUAACAGCAGGAUAAAGACAUGGUGAUAAAUGAGUGUGUGGGCCGUCUGCUGAGGACCAGGAGCUCAGGACACUCAGACGGGGGCGUCGCAGCAGGAGUCACCGCGCACCACAAUCCUCUGCUGUUCUGAGAUGUCACACUCCUGCCUGCACAUAGAAACCACAGUGAAGUCAAAGUUCCACCUGCACCUCCACCUGUUCUUGCAACAGCAUGAACACUGACAGAGGAGGAAGGUGGAGGCGCAGCUCCAGCAGAGCAACACCAGAGGU
Long non-coding RNA from Oreochromis niloticus (Nile tilapia), 761 nucleotides. RefSeq lists it as uncharacterized. NCBI's taxonomy places the organism in Eukaryota, Metazoa, Chordata, Actinopteri, Cichliformes, Cichlidae. The transcript has 4 exons. The record is from RefSeq and is a predicted model, not a curated record.